This 69-nucleotide transfer RNA is filed under the name Chrotopterus auritus. RNAcentral describes it as "tRNA-Ala". It matches the Rfam family "tRNA". From Rfam's summary of the family: Transfer RNA (tRNA) molecules are approximately 80 nucleotides in length. Their secondary structure includes four short double-helical elements and three loops (D, anti-codon, and T loops). Further hydrogen bonds mediate the characteristic L-shaped molecular structure. tRNAs have two regions of fundamental functional importance: the anti-codon, which is responsible for specific mRNA codon recognition, and the 3' end, to which the tRNAs corresponding amino acid is attached (by aminoacyl-tRNA synthetases). tRNAs cope with the degeneracy of the genetic code in two manners: having more than one tRNA (with a specific anti-codon) for a particular amino acid; and 'wobble' base-pairing, i.e. permitting non-standard base-pairing at the 3rd anti-codon position. Lineage: Eukaryota; Metazoa; Chordata; Mammalia; Chiroptera; Phyllostomidae. The record is from RNAcentral.
GAGGGCUUAGCUUAAGUAAAGUGGCUGAUUUGCAUUCAGCAGAUGCAGGGUAGAGUCUUGUAGUCCUUA